Molecule: ribosomal RNA, 465 nt
Filed under: uncultured bacterium
Lineage: Bacteria
Description: partial 16S ribosomal RNA
Rfam family: Bacterial small subunit ribosomal RNA
Source: RNAcentral
CCUACGGGGUGCAGCAGUGGGGAAUAUUGCGCAAUGGGCGAAAGCCUGACGCAGCGACGCCGCGUGAGGGAUGAAGGUCUUCGGAUCGUAAACCUCUGUCAGCAGGGAAGCACGGUCACUGUGCUAAUCAGCAGUGACUUGACGGUACCUGCAAAGGAAGCACCGGCUAACUCCGUGCCAGCAGCCGCGGUAAUACGGAGGGUGCGUGCGUUAAUCGGAAUUACUGGGCGUAAAGCGCUCGUAGGCGGUAUGUCAAGUCAAGGGUGAAAUCCCCGCGCUCAACGUGGGAACUGCCUUUGAAACUGGCAAACUGGAGUGUGUGAGAGGAUAGUGGAAUUCCAGGUGUAGGAGUGAAAUCCGUAGAUAUCUGGAGGAACAUCAGUGGCGAAGGCGACUAUCUGGCACAUAACUGACGCUGAGGAGCGAAAGCGUGGGUAGCAAACAGGAUUAGAUACCCGGGUAGUC